This 2232-nucleotide long non-coding RNA is filed under the name Fragaria vesca (wild strawberry). RNAcentral describes it as "long non-coding RNA (FVES_LNC003937)". Lineage: Eukaryota; Viridiplantae; Streptophyta; Magnoliopsida; Rosales; Rosaceae. The record is from RNAcentral.
AUCCCCACAACAACGAUUCCCAUCAGUAUAAAGAACUCUGAAGCUGAAUUUUCUUUCUUACAGUGGAAACAAUGAAGUGAUAAAUCUUUUCUUUCAGUUUCCCUGAUUUUGACUCCUCCACGAGCUUCACUGACUCAUAAACUGGAUUCUCCCAUGUGCAGGUCCCAUCCUGAGCCUUAGUCUUCGGCAGUUUCACCGUCGGCUUCCCCACGUCGUCGGGCACCAGAGAUAUCAUCAACCCAGGCUUCUUCAAUUUCGGCACCUGAAAAAACAAAUGUUGGAAGCAAUUCCAGGUAUGAAUGAACAACACUAGAUCACAUUACAGCUCAAUAUCACAAAACCCAUUAUCACUAUUCGAUUGCUAAACUGAUACAUACCUCUGUUGCCUGAAACUGCAAUUGGAAUACAGCCUUUAUCUUCUUCUUCUUGCUCCAUGUCCUGAACAUGUUUCACAGUCCUAGAGUUUCAGAUCUCAGACACACUCCUCUACUCUCCAACAGUCUGACUUUCUCUGGGUUUCUUUAUAAAAGAAAUGAGUCUAACAUGGUCAGAACCAAGUAAGGUAUUUCUGAAACACUGUGAAUAUUCUGAAAGCAACUAAAGGGGCUCUGUGGUAGCUGUUAAACCUCCACAUCUAGCUGUAAGCACUUAGGUACUGCAUAAAACUAGUCUCCUAGAAUCAGAAACAGAUCGAAAUAUAGAAAAACAAAAUUUGGUGUUACAGAAAAAACACAAUAAGAAGCUUCGCUGUAAUGGAACAUUGGGAUAGAUCUCUGAAACGCAUUACCGCUAUGUUUUUGCUUUCGAAAAGGGCAUGAUGAUUGAUGCCACUCGGAUGACGUAAAUACCCCUGAUCCUCUAAGGGAAAGGUAUCUUCCUUCAAGAGCACCAAAUCCAAUCUUUUAUGACCUGUCUAACGAGGAACCCUUUUCCAUGAGAAAAUUAAAUUUGGUUUCUCGUUUGAAUUUAUGUUACUUAAAUUUAUUUGAAUUUUUUAUAAUUAUUAGAUUAAGUGUAAUCUAAGGUCAUCACGUCAUCCUUACUCAUAAAACGUCCGAACAAAUCUAAACAACAUAAAUAAAAAAUAAAACGGAAUUAAAGAAAUCUCAUGAAAGUGAAAACUUAAUUUAACCAAAACUGUAGGUGUGAUAGACUAAUCAUAAAGUGGGGUUUUGCUUUUGCACCACCAGAGGUUGAUAGGUCACCUUGGAAAAUUUGAUGGCCCCAAAACAGAAAAUUUCUACGGCUUUGUUUUAGAGCACUGGGGAAAAGACAUUGCCUUUGUGCAUAAAGGGUUCUAUUAUUACCCGAGUGCCUUGUCGGUUGUGCUUUUUGAACAAGAAUUAUAGUUGAGGAAUCAGUAUGCCAGUAGAUAUAAAACAAUGAAAAUAAUGGAGGAAACCCAUGGCAUUUCUGGGUUUUUAUUUCUCCGAGUACAAGAAAAUUUGGACUUCGGGUGUCAUUCAACACGUGCGUGGUCUGGGAUAAGGGCUGGACAUCACGUGGUUUGCGUCGAGUCUUAUAUUUGUUUGGUCAAGUGUCUAUCUUCUUGUAUUUGAUGCUGAUCACAAAUUAGAUUCCAACAGUUUCUGGGUUCUUAGUUUUGACUUCUUACCAUGUUUCAGGUUGUUAGAGCAAAAGUGAUUCUUACAAGAGAAGUGCACAAGUGGCAUACCAGUUUUUUAGAAUGAUUGUUUCUUAUAGCUCUUGAAGUUUCUACGUGCCAUAUCAUUGUUACCGGUAGCACAUACAAAUCAAGGCAUGAAUGCUGCUUAAUUGUUAGUUAGGUGGCUCUGCUUCAGUGUGCAUAUAAAUGGUCCAAACCUCCUUGUGACGUUAGUUAGAUUUUAGUGAACCACGUAUCUCCGGCAAUAGAUUUCUCAGAUAAGAGAAAACUCCCUUUUCUGGUCCAGAACAAUUACUCCAUUUUGUGUCGAGGCCAAGGGAAGACAAGAUAGAGCAAACCAAAUGAAAGUUGAACUCUUACUCCUCUGGUUCAGAAAGCUGUCUUUGUCAAUCUUAAGUAGCACUUACGUGUAACAUUUGCUGAAAGGAAUAGCAGAACUGAAUGGCCAAGGUAGCUUCACUUGUUGAAUCGCUAUAUAUGCUUUUGAGGGUUUGAGACAGAAAAUAAUGAGAAUGUGUAUAAACAAUUAGUGAAGUUUGUAACCCACACUAUUGUGGACAUUGUAAAGAACAGAAUGAGGGCCUGAGGCAAAAACAUCUAGGAAU